GACGAACGCUGGCGGCGUGCUUAACACAUGCAAGUCGAACGGAAAGGCCCUGCUUUUGUGGGGUGCUCGAGUGGCGAACGGGUGAGUAACACGUGAGUAACCUGCCCGUGACUUUGGGAUAACUUCAGGGAACUGGGGCUAAUACCGGAUAGGAGCUCCUGCUGCAUGGUGGGGGUUGGAAAGUUUCGGCGGUUGGGGAUGGACUCGCGGCUUAUCAGCUUGUUGGUGGGGUAGUGGCUUACCAAGGCUUUGACGGGUAGCCGGCCUGAGAGGGUGACCGGCCACAUUGGGACUGAGAUACGGCCCAGACUCAUACGGGCGGCAGCAGUGGGGAAUAUUGCACAAUGGGCGGAAGCCUGAUGCAGCAACGCCGCGUGCGGGAUGACGGCCUUCGGGUUGUAAACCGCUUUCGCCUGUGACGAAGCGUGAGUGACGGUAAUGGGUAAAGAAGCACCGGCUAACUACGUG
This 468-nucleotide ribosomal RNA is filed under the name uncultured bacterium. RNAcentral's name for it is "partial 16S ribosomal RNA". It matches the Rfam family "Bacterial small subunit ribosomal RNA", at positions 28 to 507 of the family's 1533-position model. The record is from RNAcentral.